This 556-nucleotide ribosomal RNA is filed under the name bacterium. RNAcentral's name for it is "bacterial SSU rRNA". It matches the Rfam family "Bacterial small subunit ribosomal RNA", at positions 58 to 588 of the family's 1533-position model. The record is from RNAcentral.
AAGGUCGAGCCGAAUUGGAUUUGAGGAGCUUGCUCUCAAGAAGUUAGCGGCGGACGGGUGAGUAACACGUGGGUAACCUGCCCAUAAGACUGGGAUAACUCCGGGAAACCGGGGCUAAUACCGGAUAACAUUUUGAACUGCAUGGUUCGAAAUUGAAAGGCGGCUUCGGCUGUCACUUAUGGAUGGACCCGCGUCGCAUUAGCUAGUUGGUGAGGUAACGGCUCACCAAGGCAACGAUGCGUAGCCGACCUGAGAGGGUGAUCGGCCACACUGGGACUGAGACACGGCCCAGACUCCUACGGGAGGCAGCAGUAGGGAAUCUUCCGCAAUGGACGAAAGUCUGACGGAGCAACGCCGCGUGAGUGAUGAAGGCUUUCGGGUCGUAAAACUCUGUUGUUAGGGAAGAACAAGUGCUAGUUGAAUAAGCUGGCACCUUGACGGUACCUAACCAGAAAGCCACGGCUAACUACGUGCCAGCAGCCGCGGUAAUACGUAGGUGGCAAGCGUUAUCCGGAAUUAUUGGGCGUAAAGCGCGCGCAGGGUGGUUUCUUUAAGU